Molecule: ribosomal RNA, 253 nt
Filed under: uncultured bacterium
Lineage: Bacteria
Description: partial 16S ribosomal RNA
Rfam family: Bacterial small subunit ribosomal RNA
Source: RNAcentral
UACGUAGGUGGCAAGCGUUGUCCGGAUUUAUUGGGUUUAAAGGGUGCGUAGGCGGCUUUGUAAGUCAGUGGUGAAAUAUGGCAGCUUAACUGUCAGGGUGCCAUUGAUACUGCGGAGCUUGAGUACAGAUGAGGUAGGCGGAAUUGACGGUGUAGCGGUGAAAUGCUUAGAUAUCGUCAAGAACACCUAUGGCGAAGGCAGCUUACUAGGCUGUAACUGACGCUGAGGCACGAAAGUGCGGGGAUCAAACAGG